AUAGGAUUGGCCAAAGAGUUCAUUUGGGUUUUUCUAGUGAGCUGUAAACAAAAAACCCGAACGAACUUUUGGCUGACUCAAU
This is a microRNA precursor of Bison bison bison, 82 nucleotides long. The record is from Ensembl. Lineage: Eukaryota; Metazoa; Chordata; Mammalia; Artiodactyla; Bovidae.